Molecule: ribosomal RNA, 725 nt
Filed under: Glomus sp. rp42
Lineage: Eukaryota; Fungi; Glomeromycota; Glomeromycetes; Glomerales; Glomeraceae
Description: eukaryotic LSU rRNA
Rfam family: Eukaryotic large subunit ribosomal RNA
Source: RNAcentral
AAAGAAACUAACAAGGAUUCCCCUAGUAACGGCGAGUGAAGAGGGAAGAGCUCAAAUUUUAAAUCUGCCUUGUUUCAAGGUCGAGUUGUAAUUUGAAGAAGCGUUUUCUUGGGCUCGCGGCCGGUAGAAGUUCUUUGGAACAGGACAUCAUAGAGGGUGACAAUCCCGUCUGCGACCGGUCGUGCGUUCAUCUACGAUACGCUUUCAAAGAGUCGAGUUGUUUGGGAUUGCAGCUCCAAAUGGGUGGUAAACAUCACCUAAGGCUAAAUAUUGGCGAGAGACCGAUAGCGAACAAGUACCGUGAGGGAAAGAUGAAAAGAACUUUGAAAAGAGAGUUAAACAGUACGUGAAAUUGUUGAAAGGGAAACGAUUGAAGUCAGUCGUGCUGGCGCGAAAUCAACCCUCUCGUCGAGAGGACACAUGGCGUGGCGAGCCUCAAAACCGUCACGAAGCGUGAACUCUUGGCGAAAAGGAGCACUUUCGUGUCCGCUGGUUAACAUCAAUUUCGAACGUCAUAAAAAGGCUGGAGGGAUGUGGCUCCUUCGGGAGGGUUAUAACCUUUAGCGGAAUGUGGUGGUCGGGAUUGAGGAUUGCAACGAAUACCUUUAGGGCUGUUCCACCUGGCCUCUCUUUGGUAUCCUGGUGACGACAGCUUGCUGACGUUGUUAGGAUUCGCCAUUGAACAGGCUAGAGUGUGAGCAAAUUCGUUAAGGAAUGUUGACGUA